GAGUGGCGAACGGGUGAGUAAUACAUCGGAACGUGCCCUGUAGUGGGGGAUAACUAGUCGAAAGACUAGCUAAUACCGCAUACGACCUGAGGGUGAAAGUGGGGGACCGCAAGGCCUCAUGCUAUAGGAGCGGCCGAUGUCUGAUUAGCUAGUUGGUGGGGUAAAGGCCCACCAAGGCGACGAUCAGUAGCUGGUCUGAGAGGACGAUCAGCCACUCUGGGACUGAUACACGGCCCAAACUCCUACGGAAGGAAGCAGUGAGCCCC
RNAcentral lists this ribosomal RNA (266 nucleotides) under Ralstonia solanacearum. RNAcentral describes it as "partial 16S ribosomal RNA". It matches the Rfam family "Bacterial small subunit ribosomal RNA", at positions 93 to 358 of the family's 1533-position model. Lineage: Bacteria; Pseudomonadati; Pseudomonadota; Betaproteobacteria; Burkholderiales; Burkholderiaceae. The record is from RNAcentral.